RNAcentral lists this ribosomal RNA (492 nucleotides) under uncultured bacterium. Its description in RNAcentral is "partial 16S ribosomal RNA". It matches the Rfam family "Bacterial small subunit ribosomal RNA", at positions 30 to 507 of the family's 1533-position model. The record is from RNAcentral.
AGUGAACGCUGGCGGUAGGCCUAACACAUGCAAGUCGAACGGCAGCACAGUAAGAGCUUGCUCUUACGGGUGGCGAGUGGCGGACGGGUGAGGAAUACAUCGGAAUCUACUUUUUCGUGGGGGAUAACGUAGGGAAACUUACGCUAAUACCGCAUACGACCUACGGGUGAAAGCAGGGGAUCUUCGGACCUUGCGCGAUUGAAUGAGCCGAUGUCGGAUUAGCUAGUUGGCGGGGUAAAGGCCCACCAAGGCGACGAUCCGUAGCUGGUCUGAGAGGAUGAGAGGCAACAGGGGAGAGUAGAGAAGGACGAGAUGCCGAAGGGAGGCAGCAGUGGGGAAGAGUGGACAAGGGGUGCAAGUUUUAAACAGCUAUAGUGGAUGAGUAAAGACGGCGGUCGGGUUGUAAAGCCCUCUGGCUGAGAAAGAAAAGCAGCAGGUUAAUACCCCGCUGUUAGGACGGUACACAAAGAAUAAGAACGGGCUAGCUUCGUG